This 422-nucleotide ribosomal RNA is filed under the name uncultured archaeon. Its description in RNAcentral is "partial 16S ribosomal RNA". It matches the Rfam family "Archaeal small subunit ribosomal RNA", at positions 323 to 746 of the family's 1478-position model. The record is from RNAcentral.
CUACGGGAGGCUCCAGGCGAGAAAACUUUGCAAUGUGCGAAAGCACGACAAGGUUAAUCCGAGUGGUUUCUGCUAAAGGAACCUUUUGACAGUCCUAGAAACACUGUUGAAUAAGGGGUGGGCAAGUUCUGGUGUCAGCCGCCGCGGUAAAACCAGCGACCUCAAGUGGUCAGGAUGAUUAUUGGGCCUAAAGCAUCCGUAGCCGGCUCUGUAAGUUUUCGGUUAAAUCUGUACGCUCAACGUACAGGCUGCCGGGAAUACUGCAGAGCUAGGGAGUGGGAGGGUAGACGGUACUCGGUAGGAAGGGGUAAAAUCCUUUGAUCUAUUGAUGACCACCUGUGGCGAAGGCGGUCUACCAGAACACGUCCGACGGUGAGGGAUGAAAGCUGGGGGAGCAAACCGGAUUAGAUACCCCAGUAGUC